This 731-nucleotide ribosomal RNA is filed under the name uncultured archaeon. RNAcentral's name for it is "bacterial SSU rRNA". It matches the Rfam family "Archaeal small subunit ribosomal RNA", at positions 19 to 760 of the family's 1478-position model. The record is from RNAcentral.
CGAAGUAAUUGCUUUGAUACUACGCCAUGUCUAGUCAUUGUAGUAAUACAAGGCAGACGGCUCAUUUUCGCUUACUCUAAAUAACCUAUGGACGAUAAUAACCUCGGGAAACUGACCUUAAUGCCCGAUAGAACACUAUGCCUGGAAUGGUUUGUGUUCCAAAUGAUUUAUCGCCGGAGUAUGGGACUGCGCCCUAUCAGUUUGUUGGUGAGGUAAUGGCCCACCAUGAUUAUUGCGGGAACGUGCUCUGAGAUGAGUGUCCCGGAGAUGGGUACUGAGACACGGAUACAGGCCCUAUGGGGCGCAGCUAGUGAGAAAACUAUGCUAUGUGCGAUAGCACGACGAGGAUUGUCCGAGUUGCUUCUGCUAAAGGUGCCUUUUGUCGUGCCUUAAAGCAUCGAUCAAUGAGGGGUGAUUUACUUCUGGUGUCAUGCGCCGCCGUCAAAUUAGCCGCUCAAGUGGUCAGGAUGAUUAUUGGGUCUAAAUGAUCCGAGAGCUGCUUUGUUACGUUUUCGGUUAAAUCUGUGCGCUCAACGUAAAGGCUGCCGGGAAUACUGCAGAUCUAGGGAGUGGGAGAGGAAGACAGGACUCGGAACGAAGGAGGGAAAUGCUUUUAUCUAUUGUUGAUCAGCUGCGGCGAAAUGAGGAUAACCAAAAACAUCCAAAUGAGGUCGAAGGAAGCUGGACGACGAAAGCCUAUUAAAUUACCGGGUAGUUCCAGCUGGAAACUU